Xenopus tropicalis (tropical clawed frog) is the source of this 86-nucleotide microRNA precursor. Ensembl annotates it as xtr-mir-148a. Its record names the gene xtr-mir-148a. The record is from Ensembl. NCBI's taxonomy places the organism in Eukaryota, Metazoa, Chordata, Amphibia, Anura, Pipidae.
UAGUCUUUUAAAUCAAAGUUCUGUGACACUUAGACUCUGAAUAUGAUAGCAGUCAGUGCACUACAGAACUUUGUUUUGGGAGUCUG